This is a small nuclear RNA of Spermophilus dauricus (Daurian ground squirrel), 104 nucleotides long. Lineage: Eukaryota; Metazoa; Chordata; Mammalia; Rodentia; Sciuridae. The record is from Ensembl.
AUGAUCGCUUCAGCAGCACAAACACUAAAAUUGGAACAAUACAGAAAAGAUUAUCAUCCCUGCGCAAGGAUGACACACAAAUUCAUGAAGUAUUCUGUAUUUUU